CGUCCCAAAAUAAGUGUAGUUUUACACUAUUCACGUUCAACGUUUGACCGUUCGUCUUAUUUAAAUUUUUUUAUGAUUAGUAUUUUUAUUGCUAUUAGAUGAUAAAACAUGAAUAAUACUUUAUGUGUGACUAAAUAUUUUUAAAUUUUUCACAAAUUUUUUAAAUAAAACGGACGGUCAAACGUUGGACACGGAUAUCUAUGGCUGUACUUAUUUUGGGACGGAGGUAU
This 230-nucleotide microRNA precursor is filed under the name Oryza sativa (Asian cultivated rice). Its description in RNAcentral is "partial microRNA MIR433c-8 precursor". It matches the Rfam family "MIR812 microRNA precursor family". The record is from RNAcentral. Lineage: Eukaryota; Viridiplantae; Streptophyta; Magnoliopsida; Poales; Poaceae.